RNAcentral lists this ribosomal RNA (1394 nucleotides) under Cocky apple witches'-broom phytoplasma. Its description in RNAcentral is "bacterial SSU rRNA". It matches the Rfam family "Bacterial small subunit ribosomal RNA". Lineage: Bacteria; Bacillati; Mycoplasmatota; Mollicutes; Acholeplasmatales; Acholeplasmataceae. The record is from RNAcentral.
GGAAACAGUGGCUAAGACUGGAUAGGAAGAUAAAAGGCAUCUUGUAUCUUUUAAAAGACCUAUAGUAAUAGGUAUGCUUUAGGAGGGGCUUGCGCCAUAUUAGUUAGUUGGUAAGGGUAAUGGCCUACCAAGACGAUGAUGUGUAGCUGGACUGAGAGGUUGAACAGCCACAUUGGGACUGAGACACGGCCCAAACUCCUACGGGAGGCAGCAGUAGGGAAUUUUCGGCAAUGGAGGAAACUCUGACCGAGCAACGCCGCGUGAAUGACGAAGUACUUCGGUAUGUAAAGUUCUUUUAUCAAGGAAGAAAAGCAAAUGGCGAACCAUUUGUUUGCCGGUACUUGAUGAAUAAGCCCCGGCUAAUUAUGUGCCAGCAGCCCGCGGUAAGACAUAAGGGGCAAGUGUUAUCCGGAAUUAUUGGGCGUAAAGGGUGCGUAGGCGGUCUAGUAAGUCAGUGGUGUAAUGGCAACGCUUAACGUUGUCCGGCUAUUGAAACUGCUAAACUUGAGUUAGAUAGAGGCGAGUGGAAUUCCAUGUGUAGCGGUAAAAUGCGUAAAUAUAUGGAGGAACACCAGAGGCGUAGGCAGCUCGCUGGGUCUUAACUGACGCUGAGGCACGAAAGCGUGGGGAGCAAACAGGAUUAGAUACCCUGGUAGUCCACGCCGUAAACGAUGAGUACUAAGUGUCGGGUUAAACCGGUACUGAAGUUAACACAUUAAGUACUCCGCCUGAGUAGUACGUACGCAAGUAUGAAACUUAAAGGAAUUGACGGGACUCCGCACAAGCGGUGGAUCAUGUUGUUUAAUUCGAAGAUACCCGAAAAACCUUACCAGGUCUUGACAUGUUUUUGCAAAACGGUAGUAAUAUCGUGGAGGUUACCAGAAACACAGGUGGUGCAUGGUUGUCGUCAGCUCGUGUCGUGAGAUGUUAGGUUAAGUCCUAAAACGAGCGAAACCCUUAUCGUUAGUUGCCAGCACGUUAUGGUGGGGACUUUAACGAGACUGCCAAUGAUAAAUUGGAGGAAGGUGAGGAUCACGUCAAAUCAGCAUGCCCCUUAUGACCUGGGCUACAAACGUGAUACAAUGGCUGUUACAAAGGGUAGCUGAAACGCAAGUUCUUGGCCAAUCCCCAAAAACAGUCCCAGUCCGGAUUGAAGUCUGCAACUCGACUUCAUGAAGUUGGAAUCGCUAGUAAUCGCGAAUCAGCAUGUCGCGGUGAAUACGUUCUCGGGGUUUGUACACACCGCCCGUCAAACCACGAAAGUUGGCAAUACCCCAAAACGGUAGCCUAACUCGUUUAUUCGAGAGGGCGUCGUCUAAGGUAGGGUCAAUGAUUGGGGUUAAGUCGUAACAAGGUAUCCCUACCGGAAGGUGGGGAUGGAUCACCUCCUUUCU